RNAcentral lists this ribosomal RNA (1880 nucleotides) under human gut metagenome. RNAcentral's name for it is "bacterial LSU rRNA". It matches the Rfam family "Bacterial large subunit ribosomal RNA", at positions 3 to 1980 of the family's 2925-position model. The record is from RNAcentral.
UCAAGCUAAAAAGGGCGCAAGGUGAAUGCCUUGGCACUGGGAGCCGAUGAAAGACGUGGUAAGCUGCGAAAAGCUUCGGGGAGGAGCAAACAUCCAUUGAUCCGGAGAUAUCUGAAUGGGGCAACCCAAUGGAGUUCAUACUCCAUUAUCCAAUACUGAAUCCAUAGGUAUUGGAAGGGAACCGCCUGAACUGAAACAUCUAAGUAGGGCGAGGAAGAGACAUCAAACGAGAUUCCGUAAGUAGUGGCGAGCGAACGCGGAAGAGGGCAAACCGAGAGUAGAAAUACUUUCGGGGUACGGACUGCUUUUAAGACUCAAUCUGUUAACCGAACGGCAUGGGAAGGCCGGUCAGAGAGUGUGAGAACCACGUAGGUGAAAACGGAGAGAGCUGCGCAGGAUCCAGAGUACGGCCAGACACGUGAAACCUGGUCGGAAUACGGGGGGACCACCCUCCAACCCUAAAUACUACCCAGUGACCGAUAGCGUAUAGUACUGUGAAGGAAAGGUGAAAAGCACCCCGGGAGGGGAGUGAAAAAGAACCUGAAACCCUGUGCCUACAAGCACCUAGAGCGCGUCAAAGCGUGAUAGGGUACUUUUUGUAGAACGGUCCGGCGAGCGAUUGUAUGCAGCAAGGUUAAGGACUUAAGGUCUGGAGCCGAAGCGAAAGCGAGUUUGAAAAGGGCGUUAAGUUGCAUAUAAUGGGCCCGAAACCGGGUGACCUACCCAUGGUCAGGUUGAAGUGGAAGUAAAAUUCCAUGGAGGACCGAACCGACCUCCGUUGAAAAGGCGGCGGAUGAACUGUGGGUAGCGGAGAAAUUCCAAUCGAACCCGGAGAUAGCUGGUUCUCCCCGAAAUAGUUUUAGGACUAGCCUCAAGUUAGAUACCUGGAGGUAAAGCACUGAAUAGCCUAGCGGCCGAGAGGUUAGCGAAGCUUAUCAAACUCAGAAUGCCAGAGUAUUGAUGCUUGGGAGUCAGACAGUGUCAGAUAAAUGUCAUUGUCAAAAGGGAAACAGCCCAGAUCUACAGCUAAGGUCCCAAAGUCAGGUUAAGUGGAAAACGAUGUGAAGAUACGCAGACAACCAGGAUGUUGGCUCAGAAGCAGCCACUCAUUCAAAGAGUGCGUAAUAGCUCACUGGUCGAGCGUCUUUGCGCGGAGAAUUUAACGGGGCUAAACCUGACACCGAAGCUUAGGCAAUACAGAAAUGUAUUGGGUAGGGGAGCGUUGUAUACGCGGAGAAACAGUAGCGCAAGCGGCUGUGGAGUGUAUAGAAGUGAGAAUGCCGGAAUGAGUAGCGCGAAUGCAGUGAGAAUCUGCAUGGCCGAAAGCCUCAGGUUUCUGGAGGAAGGUUCGUCCGCUCCAGGUUAGUCGGGAGCUAAGGUGAGGCCGGAAGGCGUAGCCGAUGCACAGACGGUAGAGAUUCCGUCACCACCAAAAGAGUUAAGCACAGGGACACAUAUGAAGUCUCAGAGCCGGGUGUUGGUUCCGGUAGAGAUCGAGGGAAAUUAGUACCGAAGUCUGAGAUGGAAGAUGGCGAGAAAAGCUGUGUGUAUUUCUGAGGUGCCCGUACCGCAAACCGACACAGGUAGGUAGGAAGAAGAUUCUAAGGCCAACGGGAGAAGGGUUGUUAAGGAACUCGGCAAAUUGACCCCGUAACUUCGGGAGAAGGGGUGCUCCAGAGAUGGAGCCGCAGAGAAUCGGCCCAAGCAACUGUUUACCAAAAACACAGGUUUGUGCUAAAUCGAAAGAUGACGUAUACGAGCUGACGCCUGCCCGGUGCUGGAAGGUUAAGAGGAGAUGUGCAAGCAUUGAAUCGAAGCCCCAGUGAACGGCGGCCGUAACUAUAACGGUCCUAAGGUAGCGAAAUUCCUUGUCAGGUAAG